This 1434-nucleotide long non-coding RNA is filed under the name Manihot esculenta (cassava). RNAcentral describes it as "long non-coding RNA (MESC_LNC008614)". The record is from RNAcentral. Lineage: Eukaryota; Viridiplantae; Streptophyta; Magnoliopsida; Malpighiales; Euphorbiaceae.
UUCAUUGAACUAUUUUUGCAGAAAGAGUCUCAUUUAUAUAUUGAUUUGGUGAGAUUGUGUUGGCUGUGAAAUUUUGUAUUGGAUGAGUUGUGGUGAAGAUUCAUCCUCCAAUGAUAUUUGAUAAAGUGAGCAUGAUGGAUGCUAUCAGUCUUAACAUUAGAGAUUAACAAGCUGUCAUAAAGAAUGAUAGGUGACAGAAAUCAAAUUGUUAUGCAGCUGGAUUUUCAGAUAAAUUUACUGAUUUGAUUCUUCAAUUUAUGGGAACUUCUGGUCAUCGACACAGACACAGACAAUUCCCAAAGGAAUGGUAGUAUAUGAUACCAAAUUGUUGGGACUGAUUCAGUAAAAGCAGAAAUAGGAAACCAGAGGAUGGUAGAAUAAAGCCAGAGAUGAAAUUGGUGAAGUAAGAGAGAGUAAAGAGGAACAGGUACGAUAUUCUUCACUGAUUAUUCUCUCAUGUCUGAAUACAAUAUUGUUUAUAUAGGUUUCCUCGUAGCUAAUUCUCUAACAUCUUAUUCCUUUUCUUUGAUAUAUGACUUGUUCAUAUUUUCUUAUUGUCAGAUUCUAUAUUAAUUUAUAGUUCAUACUUCAUGCACCUUUCUCUUUAUAAUUUUAACUAACAAUAUAGCUUAAGAUUUUUAAUUUCUAGCUUCACAAUGGUUUUCAGGCCUGUUACAACUGCAAUGAGAUCACCUGCUAAGCCCCAGCUAGCAAAUUCAACCUUGAACAGUCCUUUUGCAAGGAUAUCAAACUGCUGCACCAAAUCAAGCAAUGUAGAAAACUAAAAGCUCUUGUUUGCUGAACUGUUGAUGGAAUGUUUUUUUUGGUUUAUCAAAAUUUUCCCUAUGGUCAGAUAAUAAUGAAGCAGCAGCUAAUAUAUACCUGUGAUGUGAUAUCUUCAAAUUUUGAAUGUAAUUGUGCUUUUUACCUUUUUCUCAAAUGAAUUCUUGUAAGAAAAACAUUCGUGUUGUCAUUUUACUUCCAUGUGCUUGUCAGUUUGAUUCGUCAGCAGUUUAGUUCUAAGACAUUAUAUUAUAUUCUCCUAAAUAUCCUGUGUUGGAUAAUGGAGUUCAUGUGGUUUGCCUUGCAAUUUACUUUGAACAUUCAUAUAUAGAUUCCUAGUUCCUAGAUAUCUGUCUUGAUCUAUGAGAAAAGUUGAGUUGAUAUUGUCUGCCUAGCAAUUUACUUUGAACAUGUCUUAUUAAUAGUUUCCUAGUUCCUGGCUUAAUCUAAGAUGUCUUGAUCUAUGAGAACAGUUGCAUUGAUAUGGGCUGCUUUAAAAAAUUAGACGUUUGUAUUAGAUUGACCAUCUUUUAUUGAACAAUUUUUUUGCAGAAAGAGUUUCAGUUAUAUAUUUAUUAGGUGUGAUGGUGCUGUGAAAUUUUGUUUGGAUAAAUUUGUGGUGAAGAUUUCAUCUAACAAAGAUUUUGAUGA